GGAGAGAUGGCCGAGUGGCUUAAGGCAACGGUUUGCUAAACCGUCGUAGAGUUUUUGACUCUACCGAGGGUUCAAAUCCCUCUCUCUCCU
This 90-nucleotide transfer RNA is filed under the name Ignavibacteria bacterium. RNAcentral's name for it is "tRNA-Ser". It matches the Rfam family "tRNA". From Rfam's summary of the family: Transfer RNA (tRNA) molecules are approximately 80 nucleotides in length. Their secondary structure includes four short double-helical elements and three loops (D, anti-codon, and T loops). Further hydrogen bonds mediate the characteristic L-shaped molecular structure. tRNAs have two regions of fundamental functional importance: the anti-codon, which is responsible for specific mRNA codon recognition, and the 3' end, to which the tRNAs corresponding amino acid is attached (by aminoacyl-tRNA synthetases). tRNAs cope with the degeneracy of the genetic code in two manners: having more than one tRNA (with a specific anti-codon) for a particular amino acid; and 'wobble' base-pairing, i.e. permitting non-standard base-pairing at the 3rd anti-codon position. The record is from RNAcentral. Lineage: Bacteria; Pseudomonadati; Ignavibacteriota; Ignavibacteria.